This is an RNA transcript of Canis lupus familiaris (dog), 5675 nucleotides long. It is a transcript of the gene named semaphorin 3B, with no coding region annotated. Lineage: Eukaryota; Metazoa; Chordata; Mammalia; Carnivora; Canidae. The transcript is spliced from 21 exons. The record is from RefSeq and is a predicted model, not a curated record.
GGAGCUGUGGAACUGGGCGGGGGCCUGGGGGGAGCGAUCUGGCCCGUGCCCUGGCAGUUGCGCCGCUUGCCUGACGGCACCCCGGGACCUUGCCCUCCGCCCAGCACCUGCCCAGCCAGCUCUGGGAAGGACGGUGGGGACUGCAGCCAGAGGCUGGCCCCAGGAAGGGCCCUGGCUCAGAGGUGGGGGCUCAAAGAUGUGGAAACCUGAGGGCGAAGGCAGGGGAGGGAGAGGCCCGGAGGCGGUAGAGGCGCAGAGAGGGACCAGGCUCACCUGAAGUGCGGGGGAGAGAUUGCCCGACACCCCUGGCUCUCCCCGACUUGGUUCCUCUUGGGUCUGAAGUCUGAGCUCACAGAAUUUCUGCGUAACCAGCCCUUCCAGGCCCCGGUGGGGAGCGAGAGGUCAACACAAAGCUGGGGCGGCCAUCCCGAGGCUCCCCUCCAGCCCUGUCCCGCCCUGGGGCUCCUGCAUAGACUCCUUCUGAGCGGUGGCUUUCAGGCGCAUCUCAGAGUUGCAGGCAGUGAUUGUUGCGGUUGUACUUGCUCACCUGCGUGUCCAGAGAGACACGCAUACACUUGUGUGUGCACACACGUUCCCACACACAUGUGUAUGACGCACGUGUACACAUGUAUGCAAAGUACACACACCAUGUAUCUACACAUGUAAUACAAGACUCAUGCCACACACUGUCACAGAUCUGCACACAUGUCUGCAUACACCACACACACACACACACACACAACACAGAUACAGAUACACAAAGGGACCCUCAGAAACACACUGACAGGUGCCCACACCAUUGGCUCCAGCCCCGAAGGUGCCUCUGUUUCUCUGUGGGCCUGUGGGUGCACAGCCACCUCCAGCCUGACCCUCUCCUGUCGCCCUUACUCCCAUGACUGGUUUGUUUUGCUCAUUGCACUUGGCGCCCUCUGAAAUGACUGUACUGAUCUGAGUCCUUGUUGGCAUUCUGCCCUCUUCUGCAUGGGGACCUUGUCUGUGUCCCCCAGUGUCCCAGGCUGGCAUGAAGUAAGCGCACAGAGUUCGUGAAUUAAUGCCUAUCCUGGGGCAGAGUCCAGGGCGGCUCAAGGCUCCUCCACACGCGCCCGCUGAACCCUGAGCACCCUGAGCCGCAGGAUGGGGCGGGCCGGGGCUGCCGCCAUGAUCCCGGGCCUGGCCCUGCUCUGGGCAGCAGUGCUGGGGGAUGCUACCCCCAGCCCCCCACGCCUUCGGCUCUCCUUCCAAGAGCUCCAGGCGCGGCACGGUCUCCGGAUCUUCAGGCUGGAGAGGACCUGCUGUUAUGAAGCUCUGCUGGUGGAUGAGGAAAGAGGACGCCUGUUUGUGGGUGCUGAGAACCACGUGGCUUCCCUCAGCUUGGACAACAUCAGCAAGCAGGCCAAGAAGCUGGCCUGGCCGGCUCCUGUGGAAUGGCGAGAGGAGUGCAACUGGGCCGGGAAGGACAUUGGUACGGAGUGCAUGAACUUCGUGAAGUUGCUGCAUACCUACAACCGCACCCACUUGCUGGCUUGUGGCACAGGGGCCUUCCACCCAACCUGUGCCUUUGUGGAGGUGGGCCACCGGCUGGAGGAGCCUGUGCUGAGGCUGGAUCUUCGAAGGCUAGAGGACGGCAAGGGCAAGAGUCCUUAUGACCCAAGGCAUCGGGCUGCCUCCGUGCUGGUGGGAGAAGAACUAUACUCAGGGGUGGCUGCAGACCUCAUGGGCCGAGACUUCACCAUCUUCCGCAGCCUGGGCCAGCGUCCAAGCCUCCGAACAGAACCACACGACUCCCGCUGGCUCAACGAGCCCAAGUUUGUCAAGGUCUUUUGGAUCCCAGAGAGCGAGAAUCCCGAUGAUGACAAGAUCUACUUCUUCUUCCGGGAGUCGGCAGUGGAGGCUGCACCGGCACUGGGACGCCUGUCUGUGUCCCGUGUUGGCCAGAUCUGCCGGAAUGACGUGGGCGGCCAGCGCAGCCUGGUCAACAAGUGGACCACGUUCCUGAAGGCACGUCUGGUGUGCUCAGUGCCAGGUGCCGAAGGUGACACGCACUUCGACCAGCUCCAGGAUGUGUUCCUGCUGUCCUUGAGGGACCGCUGGAGCCCGCUGCUCUACACUGUCUUCACCACGUCCAGCACCAUCUUCCAAGGCUCUGCAGUGUGUGUGUACAGCAUGAACGAUGUGCGCCGUGCAUUCCUGGGGCCCUUUGCACACAAGGAAGGGCCCAUGCACCAGUGGGUGUCCUAUCAGGGCCGAGUCCCCUACCCCCGGCCAGGCAUGUGCCCUAGCAAGACCUUUGGCACCUUCAGUUCUACCAAGGACUUUCCUGAUGACGUCAUUCAGUUUGCCCGGAACCACCCGCUCAUGUACAAUUCGGUCCUGCCCAUGGGUGGGCGCCCUCUCUUCCUACAAGUGGGUGCUGGGUACACCUUCACCCAGAUCACUGCAGACCGUGUAGCAGCUGCUGAUGGGCACUACGACGUCCUCUUCAUUGGCACAGAUGUUGGCACAGUGCUGAAGGUGAUCUCAGUGCCCAAGGGCAGCCGGCCUAACGCGGAGGGGCUGCUCUUGGAGGAGAUGCACGUGUUUGAGGAUUCGGCUGCUAUCACCAGCAUGCAAAUCUCUUCCAAGAGACACCAGCUGUACGUAGCCUCGCGGAGCGCGGUGGCCCAGAUCCCCUUGCACCGCUGUGCUGCCCACGGCCGCGCCUGCGCCGAAUGCUGCCUGGCGCGUGACCCUUACUGCGCCUGGGACGGGGCCGCGUGCACGCGCUUCCAGCCCAGCGCUAAAAGGCGGUUCCGGCGGCAAGACGUGAAGAAUGGUGACCCCAGUACGCUGUGCUCAGGCGACUCGUCCCAUCCCACACUGCUGGAGCGGAGGGUGUUCGGUGUGGAGGGCGGCAGCGCCUUCCUGGAGUGUGAGCCCCGCUCGCUGCAGGCACGCGUGGAAUGGACCUUCCAGCGCGCGGGGGAGGCGGCCCGCACCACGGUGGCUGCGGAGGAGCGCGCGGAGCGCCUGCCCCGGGGACUGCUGCUGCGCGGGCUGCGGCGCGGGGACUCAGGCGUGUACCUGUGCGCAGCUGUUGAGCAGGGCUUUUCGCAGCCUCUGCGUCGCUUGGCGCUACACGUGCUGAGUGCUGCGCAGGCCGAAAGGCUGGCCCGGACCGAGGAGGCUGCGCCCGUCGCCCCUCCGGGCCCCAAGCUCUGGUACCGGGACUUCCUGCAGCUGGUGGAGCCGGGCGGCGGCGGCGCUGGCUCCCUGCGAAUGUGCCGUCAGCAGCCGGAGUCGCGCCCACCCGCUCCCGAGUCGAGGAGGAAGGGCCGAAACCGCCGAAGGAACGCCCCGGAGCCGCGCGCCGACCGGGGGCCGCGCAGCGCCGCUCACUGGUGACUCGGUCGUCCACGCCGGGUACAGGGAAGGAGGCCACAGGCUGGAGGGGGAGGCCAGACCCUGGGGGACGCACCGCUGGGGGGCCCGGCGCACUGGCCCCUGGACGAUGGAUGAUGGAGACCCCGACCGACAGGCCCUAGCCGAGGGGCUGCCUCGCCGGCUUAUUUAUUAACAGAGGAUAACCCUUGAAUGUAGCCCCGGGAGGGGCGGCCCAGGCCUGGCACAGGGUCCUGUUGGUGUGAGGAGACAGAGAAACAGGGCUUCCGAGCAACGACCUGGGUGGAGGAGGUGCCUGGAGUGCCCACCCUGGGGGAAGGACCGCCUCCCUGGGCAAUGAGCAGAAAGCUGUGAACAGGCUGAGCGGGUGGGGGGGGGGGGCAGGCCAACUGUACUAAUGCAAUAAACACAUUAUCAGCCGAAGCUGGAAUGGCCCCAGUGGACAACCACUGUGUGGCCUUGGGCAACUUCCUACUGGUCUCAAGAGCUCCUUUCUGCUAAGGAUCCUGUGGGAGGAACCAUUGUCAUUCCUGUUUUAUGGAUGAGAAAAUGGAGGAACGAACGAGCAGGCAGAGGAAAGCCUGAAAGUCCUUCCGGUGCUUGGAAAAACCAAAGUGACCAAGUCAAAUGCACCUCUUGCUACUGUGGGUGUUAACAAGUCUGUGGGAUCCUGAGGUCAUCCUGGCUCCAAAUCAAGGAUCACCCCCCGAGAUGGUUUUAGGGCCUUAGGAGCCAGUGACUUUUCGUCCUUUGCCAUCUUCUCUGAGCCCCUGCUGCUGCUGGAAGCCACCUACAAGGGAGGGGGGUGACCUGCUGGCUGCUCAGCUCUGCAUUGUCCCAGCAGACACCAUGGCACUGACGCAGAGUCCGAGGAGCAAGGCACCACCGGCCCCCAACCACAUAGAGGAGGUGCGCCUGCACCAGGUGGAAUCCAUCAGCGACCUACACAGCGGAGGUGCAGCCGUGGGACGAGCUACUGGGCAUCUUGCCACCAUCGCUGUGUGCCCAGGCUGGCUGCAGUCCUGUGCAAGGCCGGGGAGGCUUCCUGUUGCUGCUGGCAUUGCUGGUGCUCACCUGCCUGGCGCUCGCCAUCCUGGCUGUCUAUCUGAGCGGUAAGGCGGAUGGUGCAAGGGGCAAGUGGGAACAGAGGGCCAGGAUCUGGGACCGGAGGGCCCUUCUGCACACCUGGAGGGAGCAGCUACAGAGGCUGAGGCAGUGAAGGGGGGGGGGCAGGGAGGUGUAGGGUGGCACGUGGUCUCAUCACCUCCAUUCUCGCCCGCCCACCCAGUGCUGCAGAGUGAAUCUCUCCGCAUGCUGGCACAUACACUUCGCACUCAGGAGGAGACGAUACUCAAACUCCGGCUCGCCAGCCUCAGCCAGCUGCGGAGGCUCAACUCCACUGAGGCCCAAGCACCCAGCUGAGAUACCACUUGGACCUGGGGGUUGGGAGGGUGUGUGUGUGGGGAGGAAUAAAGUGGCCACUGGCAGGUUUCUCCUGACCCACUGCUCCACACUACUUCCUUGGUGAGGUUUUUGUACAUGAGUCUAACCUGACCCCACAGCUACCUGCCUCUCCUGUCUUCGGGCUAGGCCUAGCCAAGUUUUCUGGGGCCAAGGACCUGCUUUGGGUGGCCCAAGGUCAGAGGAAACGACACCAGCCUCCUGGCUCCUUCUGUGGCCUGUCAGCAGCCUCUGGCUUCCCCCAGAUAGCAGGUUCAGAGUCUAGAAAUAGCUGCCCCCCCUGCUCAAUUGCUCAAACCCUGCCAUGCCUCCCAGCAGGGGUCGGGCCUCAGCACUCAAGCAGGCAGAGCUGAGUAUGGGAAAGAGGGCCACCUGAGGAGACGGUCUGGGAGGGCACAGCUGAGAUGGAGACAGGGGUGGUGGAUGAGAGGGCAGGCAGAAACACCCAGAGCUAAGGGCUGCAGAAGGCUGAGCAAUCAGUUUAAUCAUCUCUAAUAAUCUUUACAAAUCAGCAUAUAGAUCCAUUCCAUGUAGCCUCACCUCCCCACCUGUUUUGGCGCCAUCUGUCCAGAUGCCAUUCCCUUCAAGAAAGUGGGUCAUCCCAUGGGAGCAGGGCCUGAGAAAGGACAGAAAGGGACAGCCCUCCUGCUGUCUGCCCCACGGCUCUGGGACAAGCACACAUUUGGUCUGGCCUGAGACAGAGCAGGAAAAGGCCACAGCGUCGUGUGCAGGGGCAAGGGGCCAGGAUCCCGAGUGCCCUGGCCUCCAGCUACCCAUCCCCAUGUCUGUUUUUGGUUUUGUCAUUAAAAAAAUAAAGCGACAAUUCCUGGCAGGGA